This 417-nucleotide ribosomal RNA is filed under the name uncultured bacterium. Its description in RNAcentral is "bacterial SSU rRNA". It matches the Rfam family "Bacterial small subunit ribosomal RNA", at positions 488 to 907 of the family's 1533-position model. The record is from RNAcentral.
UAGUAUCAGCGUGUCAGCCGCCGCGGUAAGUACAGAGGGUGCAAGCGUUAAUCGGAAUUAACUGGGCGUAAAGCGCGCGUAGGUGGUUCGUUAAGUUGGAUGUAGAAAGCCCCGGGCUCAACCUGGGAACUGCAUUCAAAACUGUCGAGCUAGAGUAUGGGUAGAGGGUGGUGGAAUUUCCUGUGUAGCGGUGAAAUGCGUAGAUAUAGGAAGGAACACCAGUGGCGAAGGCGACCACCUGGACUGAUACUGACACUGGAGGUGCGAAAGCGUGGGGAGCAAACAGGAUUAGAUACCCUGGUAGUCCACGCCGUAAACGAUGUCAACUAGCCGUUGGGAGCCUUGAGCUCUUAGUGGCGCAGCUAACGCAUUAAGUGACCGCCUGGGGAGUACGGCCGCAAGGUUAAAACUUAAAUG